AAUAUUGGACAAUGGGGGCAACCCUGAUCCAGCCAUGCCUCGAGUGUGAAGAAGGUCUUCGGUUUGUAAAUCACUUUACGUUGGGAGGAAGGGCUUUAGGUUCAUCCCCUGAAGUUUUGACGUUACCAACAGAAUAAGCACCGGCUAACUCUCUGCCAGCAGCCGCGGUAAUACAGAUGGUGCAAGCGUUAAUCGGAAUUACUGGGCGUAAAGCGCGCGUAGGUGGUUCAGUAAGAUGGGUGUGAAAUCCCCGGGCUUAACCUGGGAACUGCUUUCAUAACUGCUGAGCUAGAGUACGGUAGAGGGUAGUGGAAUUUCCUGUGUAGCGGUGAAAUGCGUAGAUAUAGGAAGGAACACCAGUGGCGAAGGCGACUACCUGGACUGAUACUGACACUGAGGUGCGAAAGCGUGGGGAGCAAAC
RNAcentral lists this ribosomal RNA (421 nucleotides) under uncultured bacterium. Its description in RNAcentral is "partial 16S ribosomal RNA". It matches the Rfam family "Bacterial small subunit ribosomal RNA", at positions 360 to 773 of the family's 1533-position model. The record is from RNAcentral.